Beta vulgaris subsp. vulgaris (sugar beet) is the source of this 2214-nucleotide long non-coding RNA. RefSeq lists it as uncharacterized. The record is from RefSeq and is a predicted model, not a curated record. NCBI's taxonomy places the organism in Eukaryota, Viridiplantae, Streptophyta, Magnoliopsida, Caryophyllales, Amaranthaceae. The transcript is spliced from 4 exons.
AAGCACAUUGGGGGAACCAUCCGAAUUGGUCUAGACGUGAAUCACGACAACCCCCUGGAACCGAGUGGGAGAUCAUUAACGAUUUGAGGAUUGACAUGGCUAGGCUGCAGCAAAGACUAAAUAACAUGCAGAGAAUGUUGGAGGCCUGCAUGGAUAUGCAACUUGAACUGCAACGAUCUGUGAGACAGGAGGUCUCCGCAGCUCUGAACCGAUCAGCCAGUUCAUCAGGCAAGCUAUUAGACUGCAGGUUUCGAGGGAGGGGGGGUAGGGAAGUUUCUUGCUGAGAUCUUUGUCAAAACCUUAACUGGCAAGACCAUAACUCUUGAGGUCGAAAGCAGUAACACCAUUAACAAUGUCAAGGCUAAGAUUCAAGACAAAGAAGGAAUUCCUCCUGACCAGCAGCGUUUGAUAUUCGCUGGUAAGCAGCUUGAAGAUGGUCGUACUCUUGCUCAUUGCAACUUCCAGAAAGGUUAUUUUCUCUCUCCUUGUUUCAGUUUUUUAGUUCUUCUUUUGUUAUCUUUGAAUUAUUUGUAUUGGUUUUGACAUAUGCACUAUGCAUUCCUAACUCCUAAGAGCUUAAGAUUAUCACUAAAUAAGUUUUUGAAAUUGGUAGGAGUUUAGGAAUGUAUGACAAAAUCACGCUUAUUAGUUAUUGCUUUAUAUUUUCAUUUUGAGUUUUUAAAUUAUUUGUAUUGCUUUUGAUAUAUGCAAUUGUAAGAGCUAAAGGUUACUUUCCUAGAAUUUGUUUAUUUGCUUAAUUUUGGCGACUUUUGGGUUGCCUAAGCUAUCCAAUCUUGUUCCUUCUAUGAAUUUUUUUCAUUACUUGAGCUAUUGUCUUGCGACUUGGAUUGGAUCUAAGGAGAUGAUGGUCGGUGAGUGAGACUUGGAGAUUGCAUCUUCUACUUAGAGUAUCACAAGGUUAAAACAUCUCUGUUUAGAUACCUAUUUGUGCUUUAGUUCUUCCUUGGGUCCUAGCUGUUGUUGUUGCACACUCAGUUUUCUAUUGUCACACUCUGGUUAGUGCCUUAUUUUCCCCUCUUAAUCUGCUAUGUUAUCUCUCAUUAAUGGUAAUAAGUUCGGGUUACUUGUAGAAUUUAACAUUGAACUCAUGAUGUGGCUUAUUAUUUUGUAUUACAUAUCUUUUCCAGAAAGUUGUGAGUAGUUUCCCCUGAAUUUAGAAGUACGAAUCUACAAAUGCAACCUUAGCACAGUUUCACCUCCCCAACCAAACAACCAGAAGUGCUUGAGAUUAUUACCAUUGAUAGAUUGAUUAACUACAAAUUUUACCCGGAAUUGAAGAACACAAGAAAUUUUGACAUGUUAGUUUUGUACUUGUGUUAAAUGUUCUACUGAACAAAGUGAACAUUUUCUCAGUUUCUGCAACAUUGAAACAGUAGAUACUACAUAAUAUGAGAAUAAGUUCCUGAUACAUCUGACCCCUGACACAUUCUUCGUGUGAUCGCUGCAAGAUUAACUGUAACUAUCAUGAGAUUGGACCCUUUUGCAUAUCUUAGAGAUAAGCUUGUUGUUUCUCAUUUUAGAAAAUACUUGCUCAAUGAUAACACUCUUCUUUUAUAUGAGUCCUUCGAUUGACUCCAUUCUCCAUUUAUUAUGUUGUGGAAUGUGUGGGUGCAUAUAUAACUAUAUGAUUUUGGAAGUUAUGUUGACCCUAUCUGAGAUGCUGGCAAUCAUUUGAUCUCCGUUCCCCUGACCCUCUUUUAUAUUUUUACUGUGUGUUUAUGUUUUCCUUUUGAAAUUCUUCUUGCUUUGGGGACUGGGUGUGUUUUCAAGUCACAAGAAUUAAUGGGUGAUUAAGAAAUCAAGAAGUGAAAUGUUUUCCUUCCUUAAAUGCUGCUUUUAUUGUUAAAUGUUAUCUCAGGGGCAAAUAAACAAGUUUAUGCUCCAGAGCUGUUUGAUGCUGGGUGACUAUUGCAGGCAGAAAUCACCUUUGAUGGUGGAAAAGUUAUGGUGUCCACCACUGGUCCUAUUGAUCCUGAUUUGUUCAUGUUCUAAAACUUUGGCGUAGUUGUUUUGGAUUUGACUUGCUGAUGCAUGUCAUUGUUUUGUUUUAUUAAUCAAUUUCAAUUCUAAAAGUGAAUGCAUUUAUGUUAAUCAGCACUAGGUUUGGGUAAACUUUUUCGGUGUUGUACUUGUAUUGUCAUUUUUGUUUGCUAUUCUAUUAUCCCUUGAAGGUUCUUGCCAACUUAGUGAUCA